Molecule: ribosomal RNA, 493 nt
Filed under: uncultured bacterium
Lineage: Bacteria
Description: partial 16S ribosomal RNA
Rfam family: Bacterial small subunit ribosomal RNA
Source: RNAcentral
AUUGAACGCUGGCGGCAUGCUUUACACAUGCAAGUCGAACGGUAACAGGUUAAGCUGACGAGUGGCGAACGGGUGAGUAAUGCAUCGGAACGUGCCCGAUCGUGGGGGAUAACGCAGCGAAAGCUGCGCUAAUACCGCAUACGAUCUGAGGAUGAAAGCGGGGGACCGUAAGGCCUCGCGCGAUUGGAGCGGCCGAUGUCAGAUUAGGUAGUUGGUGGGGUAAAGGCUCACCAAGCCAACGAUCUGUAGCUGGUCUGAGAGGACGACCAGCCACACUGGGACUGAGACACGGCCCAGACUCCUACGGGAGGCAGCAGUGGGGAAUUUUGGACAAUGGGCGCAAGCCUGAUCCAGCAAUGCCGCGUGCAGGAAGAAGGCCUUCGGGUUGUAAACUGCUUUUGUACGGAACGAAACGGUCCUGGUUAAUACCUGGGGCUAAUGACGGUACCGUAAGAAUAAGCACCGGCUAACUACGUGCCAGCAGCCGCGGUAA